This is a non-coding RNA of Podarcis lilfordi (Lilford's wall lizard), 82 nucleotides long. Lineage: Eukaryota; Metazoa; Chordata; Lepidosauria; Squamata; Lacertidae. The record is from the annotation of a GenBank genome assembly.
AGGCGGAUAGCUCAGUUGGUUAGAGUAUGGUGCUGACAAUGCCAAGGUUGCAGGUUCGAUCCCCGCAAGGUACAGCUGCCUA